GGAUGUCGACACCAAAUUCAACAGUAAUGAUGCCAUCAAUGUAGAUGAACCAUUAGAUAGUGACCCUGAAAUUUUUAAGCAUGGUGUCAAACUCGUAGGAGCCGACAGGAGGACAUACAUCGAUGAUAAGAUGUAUUUCAGACUAGUUUGGUAUGUUCUAAACAAUUGUACAGAAGCUGAGCCAUAUGUGGACAUCUACAGGGCAGAGUUAUUGCAAGAAGGGCCACAUGAUGUUGAAAAAAGGCUUGAAAAUGGUUUUCCUAACUGGUUUAGGAGCCAUAUCGCCAAGAAGCGUACAGAUCGU
Molecule: long non-coding RNA, 304 nt
Organism: Panicum virgatum (switchgrass)
Lineage: Eukaryota; Viridiplantae; Streptophyta; Magnoliopsida; Poales; Poaceae
Exons: 3
Source: RefSeq, a predicted model, not a curated record